AGCAGCUGUGCCAAUAUUGCAGUGCAGUCCGGGGUGGCAAAUUCAAGCGAGGAGCAGCACACAUGCAUGUGUAUGCAUGUAUGCAUGGUUGGGGCCUGGUACAAAGUUGUUCGCGUGACGAACCUCCGGUUUGCCCACUGACUGAGGUACUGCCAUGAGAGGGGUUUAAGGUCAUCCGUAUGGGUGAAUGUGAAUGUGGGGCUGUUGUUGCCAGGCAGGACGGAC
RNAcentral lists this long non-coding RNA (225 nucleotides) under Drosophila guanche. The record is from RNAcentral. Lineage: Eukaryota; Metazoa; Arthropoda; Insecta; Diptera; Drosophilidae.